CCGGAAUAGCUCAGUCGGUAGAGCAGAGGACUGAAAA
Molecule: transfer RNA, 37 nt
Filed under: Metzgeria pubescens
Lineage: Eukaryota; Viridiplantae; Streptophyta; Jungermanniopsida; Metzgeriales; Metzgeriaceae
Also listed under: 1 other name
Description: partial transfer RNA-Phe
Source: RNAcentral